Papaver somniferum (opium poppy) is the source of this 1217-nucleotide long non-coding RNA. RefSeq lists it as uncharacterized. The transcript has 3 exons. NCBI's taxonomy places the organism in Eukaryota, Viridiplantae, Streptophyta, Magnoliopsida, Ranunculales, Papaveraceae. The record is from RefSeq and is a predicted model, not a curated record.
UUCCUACCCCUAGGUAUUAUCUGUCGGGAGAAUAACCUAAUCAAAGUCUCAGACUCUUUAGUGUUACUCAUUUUUUCUCAUUCUCUAACACAGAAAACUCAGAAAGAUAUUCGUGAAUCGUGAUUUGAUCGAGAGAGAGGGACUGAGUGAUCGAUUUGAUCGUGAUUUGGUCGAUAAUAUUGAUGAUCAGAGACUCUCACUCAAGAAAAUGUCUCAAAGUGAAAAAGCAUCCAAUAGAGUUGGAACUCCAAGUUGCAGUCAACCAAUUUCCCAACAGCCAGAACAAGAAGAUCAAAGUGUUGCUUCAACAAUUGCUUCAACAACACCUUCUUCGAGUAAUAAGAGAUCAUUAGCAGAAGUAGCAGAUGAAAAUCAUCCACUUGUUAUUGCUUUAUUGAAGAAAUUGCGCACAACAAGGUCACCUUCAUGGGAUGAAUUCACUAGGAAAAUCAUUGUAGAGCCCGAUAAAGAUAACCCGUGUAAGGAAGUGGCUGUCCUUAUGGGUGAAUGUCAUCAUUGCAAAAAGUUGGUACCUGCUUGUAGUGAACAAUGAACUACCCGCUUGGCUCAACAUCUAAUAAUCUGUCCCCAGAAGCCUCAAAACAAGCCAGGCCAGAUGAAGAUUACCACUGCAGUUAAAAAAGCAGGCACUAACCAAGUUGAAUUACUUAAUUACAAGUAUGAUCCAAUAGUUACUAGGAACUGCCUUGCUAAAAUGAUUGCUAAACAUGAUUACCCACUUAACAUGGUUGAGCAUUUCUAUUUUAGAGAUUUUGUUAAGUCUUUGAACCCAGCUGCGAGAAUGCCAUGUAGGAAUACAAGUAAAGCUGAUGUGUUGAGGUGUUACGCUGAAAUGAAAGGUGAAUUGCAAUUACAGUUAGAGAAUUUGACUUCCAAAUGUAGUCUCACAACUGAUAUGUGGUUCUAACAACACACAGAGCUUCAUUAAGUCCAGAAUUAGUCCAAGCACUUCUAUGCUUAAGUGAUUGGCUUCCAGGCUUCUUUGAUGCAGAUAUGGAAGUCAUCGACUGAAGUUGAUGCAAUGAUGCAACAUAUAACCAGGCAUCCAAGGAAGAUCAUCACUAGCAAGUUGUUUGACAUUAUUGUUAAGUCUAUGUACAAGAAGACAUGGUUUUUUCUCUUUUGCUGUUGUGUACUUUAGUUUGCAGACUGUUUGGUUGGGUGUUUGUAGUUUUUUUCUUCAUGUGUGAUGUGAC